AGUGAACGCUGGCGGUAGGCCUAACACAUGCAAGUCGAACGGCAGCACAGUAAGAGCUUGCUCUUACGGGUGGCGAGUGGCGGACGGGUGAGGAAUACAUCGGAAUCUACUUUUUCGUGGGGGAUAACGUAGGGAAACUUACGCUAAUACCGCAUACGACCUACGGGUGAAAGCAGGGGAUCUUCGGACCUUGCGCGAUUGAAUGAGCCGAUGUCGGAUUAGCUAGUUGGCGGGGUAAAGGCCCACCAAGGCGACGAUCCGUAGCUGGUCUGAGAGGAUGAUCAGCAACACUGGCACUGAGACACGGUACAGACUCCUACGGGAGGCAGCAGUGGGGAAUAUUGGACAAUGGGGUCAAGCCUGAUCCAGCCAUACCGCGUGGGUGAAGAAGGCCUUCGGGUUGUAAAGCCCUUUUGUUGGGAAAGAAAAGCAGCAGGUUAAUACCCCGCUGUUCUGACGGUACCCAAAGAAUAAGCACCGGCUAACUUCGUG
RNAcentral lists this ribosomal RNA (492 nucleotides) under uncultured bacterium. RNAcentral describes it as "partial 16S ribosomal RNA". It matches the Rfam family "Bacterial small subunit ribosomal RNA", at positions 29 to 507 of the family's 1533-position model. The record is from RNAcentral.